AAUUCUCAACUUCAUUAGUUUUUAUAACUGAUUGAAGCUUGGAUGUGGGGGUUUGCUGGCGUCUUUAGAUGUUUUCGGCUCCCCUUAAAUGCAUUAGUAGGAACCCGUUUGUUGGCGUUCAUAGUGUGAUAAUUAUCUACGCUCUAGAUUUGCAAAGUCUGCUUAUAACCGUCCUUCAGUUGGACAAUUUCUUGACA
This 197-nucleotide unclassified non-coding RNA is filed under the name uncultured Gymnopus. Its description in RNAcentral is "sequence contains ITS2". Lineage: Eukaryota; Fungi; Basidiomycota; Agaricomycetes; Agaricales; Tricholomataceae. The record is from RNAcentral.